This 74-nucleotide transfer RNA is filed under the name Corvus brachyrhynchos (American crow). It matches the Rfam family "tRNA". Rfam says of the family: Transfer RNA (tRNA) molecules are approximately 80 nucleotides in length. Their secondary structure includes four short double-helical elements and three loops (D, anti-codon, and T loops). Further hydrogen bonds mediate the characteristic L-shaped molecular structure. tRNAs have two regions of fundamental functional importance: the anti-codon, which is responsible for specific mRNA codon recognition, and the 3' end, to which the tRNAs corresponding amino acid is attached (by aminoacyl-tRNA synthetases). tRNAs cope with the degeneracy of the genetic code in two manners: having more than one tRNA (with a specific anti-codon) for a particular amino acid; and 'wobble' base-pairing, i.e. permitting non-standard base-pairing at the 3rd anti-codon position. The record is from Rfam by way of RNAcentral. Lineage: Eukaryota; Metazoa; Chordata; Aves; Passeriformes; Corvidae. RNAcentral also lists the same sequence under 1 other name.
CUGAAAUUAGCUCAGUUGGUUAGAGCAUGGUGCUGAUAACACCAAGGUUGUGGGUUCAAUCCCCAUAUGUAAAU